CCUUUUCUAUGGUGCAUGCAACGGGGUGAUGGGACCCACCUGUGGAAGAGUCGCUGCAAGGGUAAACACGCGUUUUGUUUGCGAGGUCAAGACGUUGAGACUGAUACGUGUCAGAAUCCUGGAGGUGAACGGUACUGGUGGCUACACGAGGUAUUUCAGCUGAUAAAAGUUGUAGAGAUCCGCACGGCUUUCCCUUCCAUAUUCGAGACCAAAAUAUCGUCACAUUGUCGCCUCUCCGUAUCGUUUCUGCUUCUUGUCCUCCGGUUCGGACCCUUCCCUCCUUUCUCCGUCUCGCCUUCUCCCAGACAAGAAUCCAUCUCAAAGUUGUUAAGAUCUCGAAGGCGAUCCGGGCAAAACCUAUUGAGUUUGAGAAGUUCAAAAAUGAGUGCACGGACGAACUUGGAGAUGGUUGAUUCCUCAGACUUCACCUUUUGCAAGGUUGGUUUACAAGCGGAAGAUGGGAAUUUAGAGUCUCCCAAAGCAAUUCCUGAUGUCCGGAAAAUCAUUCUCGAAGACACAAAUGAUAAGUCUCAAGGAACUGCAGGUUUGAAAGGGCAAUCUGAUGUAUCUAAAUCUAAUAUUUCAAGUGAAGUGGUUCCAACAAAAGUUGAUGAUAGUAAAAGAAAGACACAAAAGUCAGAUGGAGAAGCGGACGAUUUGGCACAGAAACAGAAGGCAAAGGUGAAGAAGCCUGUAGGGAGAACAAAGGUUCCUUUUGAAAAGGGGUACAGCCAAAUGGACUGGUUAAAGCUUACUCGCACGCAUCCUGACCUUGCAGGACUAAAGGGGCAAUCAAACCAAAGGCUUAUCUCGAUGGAUGAAGUUAAGCAACAUAAAACUGGUGGUUCAAUUUGGACUGUUCUAAAAGGCCAUGUUUACAAUAUCUCCCCCUACAUGAAAUUUCAUCCCGGAGGUGAGGAUAUGCUUAUGAAGGCAGCUGGUAGAGAUUCGACCUCUUUAUUCAACAAAUAUCAUGCAUGGGUGAAUGCUGAAUUUUUAUUGGAGAGGUGCCUUGUGGGAAUAUUGGAAUAUAAUUGAUGAUGAACUCCAGAAUUUUUCUAAACAAGUAUUAUUAUAUUUGCACCCCGGGGUUGUGAUCUGUUCCAGGAUCCGACCGGUUGGAGGUGCAAAAAGCAUCAUCCAGUAACAUUCUUUUAAAUGACAUCUAAAGGUGCAGGGAAAGAUUCCAGCAGCUGAGCAUCCAUCAAGCCCUAUGCGCCGCAAUGCAGGUACCAUCUCACACUGUUUUGCUGCUUAUUGUAACCUCUCUCACACUGCUGCAACAGAUGAUUCCAAAGCAUAAUCUCUGUGUAACCUCUCUAUUGUAGCCUCUCUCACACUGCUGCAACAAAUGCAGGUAACCUCUCACGCCAUUUUGCUGCUUAUUGUAACCUCUCUCACACUGCUGCAACAGAUGAUUCCAAAGUAUAAUCUCUGUUUUGUUUUCUGUCGGUGCUUUAAUAAGCAUGAAGGAUAAACUGAUGACAGCAAGCAAUCAUGCAUGCAUCUAGUGGACUUGCUUCCACAUUUUUCCAAAUGAUGAGGCAAUGAAUCAGCCGGCCACAUGCAUGCAUAUAGAGUGAGAAGAACAAGAGAGAGAGAGUUCAUCAGACAUAACAGAGGCAGUUGCAUCUCGUUUCACCUCAUUCUACAUGCACGUCUUUACAUAACCAUAAGCAUAUCUAUUAUGUAGAUAUAUAGAGACGGAGGUUUGCAUGUCUACUAUUUCCUCAGGCAUUCACGGACGACUUUAGGACAAGUUCUAAGGCCCCUGAAAGUCCAGUGUACACUGUCAGGUAUGGCUCAAAGGUUGCACUUUUGCAUACCCAAAAGAGAACGCACCUCAUGACAAUCCAAUGCUGCUUGAUGUGCGUUAUCGCCGGAAAUCUUCUGCAGCCCGGCGGAUUAUGGUACGGUGAAGUCCAGGCUUCGAUCAUGUUCAACGGCGUCAAUGCUAUGGUGAAGUAGAGCCGGUGACUCCUGUCGUUCCUUGUUUUGAGCCAGAGACCAUUGCAACAACAGUCCCAACUCUCGUUCUUACUACUAUUCGAUUCACUAAUUGUAUGCAGUAGUUUUCUCUAGUUUUAUAUGCAUUUGUACUGUAUCUGAUAGAGGGGAGAACUCUUGUUCUUCUAUUUGAUUUAAAUAGAUCUAUGUUUAGUUUGGAAAGAAAAAAGUUAAUCUUUUUCUCA
Musa acuminata AAA Group (dessert banana) is the source of this 2192-nucleotide RNA transcript. It is a transcript of the gene named cytochrome b5 domain-containing protein RLF-like, with no coding region annotated. The transcript has 7 exons. The record is from RefSeq and is a predicted model, not a curated record. Lineage: Eukaryota; Viridiplantae; Streptophyta; Magnoliopsida; Zingiberales; Musaceae.